GAUGGUUGGCUAGGAGCGUGCUAUGCGGUGAAGUUCUAUUGAGUGCAGGUGAAUCAACGGCCGUUCCGCUAACGGCCUUAAGCUUGCCAUGUGACUAGGGUAUUAUUUUUUCAGGGAAGCAUUUUUCGUGACAGCUCAUGAAGGAGAGAGGAAUAACCAGAACCAAGCAUGAUGCCUCACUGUUGGCUUUCGGCAGCUCUGCUCUUGCUAUUCCAUGCCGCCUACAACGCUGCGCAAGACACCGUGGUUCAUAUUGAGCGCGUGCAGGUCGAGGACGACAAGUGUAUCUACGAUGACGAAAAGUACCCCAACGGCGUGAGAGUCCAGAAGCUGGUGGGAUGGUGCGGAGAAAUUGAGUGCUACGCCCCGGGGAAAAUCGUGUACCUCUACUCGUGCUACAUUCCGGAAGGGUGCGAGGCGCCAAAGGGAGGCACGUUCCCCGACUGCUGCAAUCAUCUCGUGUGCCACUGAUGAAGGAGACGUCCAAUAAAAAGCUUGAAUGAAGGUGUAA
This is a long non-coding RNA of Ornithodoros turicata, 511 nucleotides long. RefSeq lists it as uncharacterized. Lineage: Eukaryota; Metazoa; Arthropoda; Arachnida; Ixodida; Argasidae. The transcript has 3 exons. The record is from RefSeq and is a predicted model, not a curated record.